UACGUAGGGGGCGAGCGUUAUCCGGAUUCAUUGGGCGUAAAGCGCGCGUAGGCGGCCGCCUAAGCGGAACCUCUAACCCCGGGGCUCAACCUCGGGCCGGGUUCCGGACUGGGCGGCUCGAGUGCGGUAGAGGAGAGCGGAAUUCCCGGUGUAGCGGUGGAAUGCGCAGAUAUCGGGAAGAACACCGAUGGCGAAGGCAGCUCUCUGGCCUGUAACUGACACUGAGGCUCGAAAGCGUGGGGAGCAAACAGG
Molecule: ribosomal RNA, 252 nt
Filed under: uncultured bacterium
Lineage: Bacteria
Description: partial 16S ribosomal RNA
Rfam family: Bacterial small subunit ribosomal RNA
Source: RNAcentral